Molecule: long non-coding RNA, 308 nt
Organism: Mus caroli (Ryukyu mouse)
Lineage: Eukaryota; Metazoa; Chordata; Mammalia; Rodentia; Muridae
Source: RefSeq, a predicted model, not a curated record
ACCCAUGAACCUGGUGCUCAGCUCCUUUCUCUCUUUCAUUCAGUCCAGGAUGCCAGCCUAUGUAAUGGAGCUGCCCACAAUUAGCGGCCAGUGUUUCUACAGGGAUCCUACUCUGGGCUGAUGACUCAGAGACCAUGGUGAGGAUGCUUCCCCAGGGCUGCAGGAAGAAGCCAUUGCUAAGGAAAUGAAGAGUCUUCAUUCUUUUCCCGAUGAUCAGUCACAGUGGUGACAGGGAACACAGACAGGAAUUAAUGAGGCCGAGGUUAACAGGGGCCACACUGCUGUGCUGCUCUUAUGCCACACCUAGA